ACUGGGAUCUCUCCGGGAAACCGGGGCUAAUACCGGAUGGUUGUUUGAACCGCAUGGUUCAAACAUAAAAGGUGGCUUCGGCUACCACUUACAGAUGGACCCGCGGCGCAUUAGCUAGUUGGUGAGGUAAUGGCUCACCAAGGCAACGAUGCGUAGCCGACCUGAGAGGGUGAUCGGCCACACUGGGACUGAGACACGGCCCAGACUCCUACGGGAGGCAGCAGUAGGGAAUCUUCCGCAAUGGACGAAAGUCUGACGGAGCAACGCCGCGUGAGUGAUGAAGGUUUUCGGAUCGUAAAGCUCUGUUGUUAGGGAAGAACAAGUACCGUUCGAAUAGGGCGGUACCUUGACGGUACCUAACCAGAAAGCCACGGCUAACUACGUGCCAGCAGCCGCGGUAAUACGUAGGUGGCAAGCGUUGUCCGGAAUUAUUGGGCGUAAAGGGCUCGCAGGCGGUUUCUUAAGUCUGAUGUGAAAGCCCCCGGCUCAACCGGGGAGGGUCAUUGGAAACUGGGGAACUUGAGUGCAGAAGAGGAGAGUGGAAUUCCACGUGUAGCGGUGAAAUGCGUAGAGAUGUGGAGGAACACCAGUGGCGAAGGCGACUCUCUGGUCUGUAAACUGACGCUGAGGAGCGAAAGCGUGGGGAGCGAACAGGAUUAGAUACCCUGGUAGUCCACGCCGUAAACGAUGAGUGCUAAGUGUUAGGGGGUUUCCGCCCCUUAG
This 723-nucleotide ribosomal RNA is filed under the name Bacillus tequilensis. Its description in RNAcentral is "bacterial SSU rRNA". It matches the Rfam family "Bacterial small subunit ribosomal RNA", at positions 137 to 843 of the family's 1533-position model. Lineage: Bacteria; Bacillati; Bacillota; Bacilli; Caryophanales; Bacillaceae. The record is from RNAcentral.